CGAUGAUUCUCUCACUCCUGUUCUGCUUUGGGUGCCAUACAUGAGGCACUUUAGUUGACUCCUGGAAAAUACAUGGUCGACUUCCCAGAGGUUUAAGUGAACUGUAACUGGAUUACCAUUAACGCCCUCUUCCAAUACUUGAUUGGACUGCUAAGCAGUUGAGGCUUGGAUUUUUAAAAAAGCCUAUGACAAUUAGGUGCCAAAAAUGGCAUAGAGAUUCAAUAGGAUUUGAGCAUUUAAUUUCCUGAAGUUUUCUUGUAAUUUCCAGAAUGGGAAGCAGCAGAGUUUAGCCACUCGCUCAUCAGAGGAUAUUAAAUUAUUUGGCUGUUACAUUAUUCCUGACUGACACAGGAAUUUUUCUCCUGCUCUGUGUGCCCAGCUCCUAUUAAACUGGCUUCGUGUUCUCAGCUAGUCCCUCAGUGCUACCAUAAUAAAUGUAAUAAAUGUAAUAAAUUAUAAUAUUUGAAGACAGAGGGUCACAUUUACCAUUACGUAACUCCAUUGAUUUUAGAAAAGUUAUACCAGGCAUGAAUCUGGCUCUAUUAUUUUGGUAUCAAAAGGAUCCAAACGAUCACUUUUUGGGGUAUAAUAAACAGAAGAGAUAUAAUUCUCUUUUCACUCUCACUGGUGUAAAACAGGAACGGCUUUCAACAGAAUUUGGUAACAGAUUCAAAGCAGGCCCAAUACAUUUCCACCAGUACUUUAUUUGGAGAGAGAGAAGCCAGGAAAAAAAAAAUCCCCAUGCCUUGAAGUGUUAAAUUGUUAAAUAGCAUCUCAGCAAAGCAAAGUAUUCUCUCUUUUGGAGGCAGGGGGAGAAGCAGGGAAGGAAACAGGCUUGCAUUUUCAUUUCAAAAUGCUAUUUAUCUCCCUCUGCAGCUCCUGGACCUUGGCGCAACCUCCCAUCUCUCUGUCCCCUCAGGAAUUUUGCAGAUAAAUUAGUGAAUCCUACAGGAAGGUGAUAGCUAUCAGCACUAUUGCAAAAUUUCAUUUAGUGGGGAGCGAGGAAUCCAAUCAGUUAUGUACAUCAGACCGGGAACUCCCGACCGGACCAAACCCACCGUCUCUUCUGUCCUUGGCCGUGCAGAAUGGCUAGGGUAGAAAACUGUGGGUUAAUCUGCUCAUAAGGGAUCAAGAGUACCAUCCCACCUCCUCCCUCCUCCGGAAGAGCACAGACCCUAUCACUUGAGCUAUGAUCAGUAUGGAGUCUACUCUACGUAGCUGAGCAGUUUUGAUCUUGUCCAGCAGAAGGCAAUAGCACACUUGGACACAGCUUCAUUCAAGGGGACAAUGUUAUCUUUUCUGAUGCCACAAUGAUUUUCACCAUCUUGUGAUACAAAGGGAAGAAAACCUUGAAGAGAAUAUGGCUUUGCUCAUUGACAGGGGUCUUCCUUGACACCAGUACGAAAACCACAGCAGCAAAAGUUAAACUUUGGCUCUGUGUGUGUGUGUGUGUGUGUGUGUGUGUGUGUGUGUGUGUUUGGCAGCAGGUACAUGCAUAUAAUCAAGGAUGGGAAAACAAGUGAGCAUCUAUUUAUGAGACCAGAUAGCUUCACAGGGCCUAAACCUCCACUCAGUUGUAUCCACUAACCUUCCUCCAGAAAACAAUAAAUAUGCAUAUUAGUCAUGUU
Molecule: long non-coding RNA, 1628 nt
Organism: Gavialis gangeticus (Gharial)
Lineage: Eukaryota; Metazoa; Chordata; Crocodylia; Gavialidae
Exons: 2
Source: RefSeq, a predicted model, not a curated record